RNAcentral lists this non-coding RNA (26 nucleotides) under Macaca fascicularis (crab-eating macaque). The record is from RNAcentral. Lineage: Eukaryota; Metazoa; Chordata; Mammalia; Primates; Cercopithecidae. RNAcentral also lists the same sequence under 1 other name.
GUGAUGUACAGAAUCCUGGGACUAGC